This 371-nucleotide ribosomal RNA is filed under the name Peltula congregata. Its description in RNAcentral is "SSU rRNA". It matches the Rfam family "Bacterial small subunit ribosomal RNA", at positions 376 to 759 of the family's 1533-position model. The record is from RNAcentral. Lineage: Eukaryota; Fungi; Ascomycota; Lichinomycetes; Lichinales; Phylliscaceae.
CUAACGGCUGAACCAGCAACUUGGAGGAAGGUAUAGCAUUAGCUAAUUAUAUUUAGUUAAAUAUAAUUUCGACUAUGUCGUAUAAAAUUCUAGGUAGAAUAUGAUGAUGACAUUUUCUAUCUAUGUGUCUUGACCAAAUCUCGUGCCAGCAGUCGCGGUAAGGCGAGAAAGACUAGUGUUAUUCAUCUUUAAUAGGUUUAAAGGGUACCUAGACGGUAUUUCUAGCCAAGAAGGUACAGAUUUACUAGAGUUUAAUAUGUAGGAGGGUAGUAUUUCUGGUGUAGAGAUGAAAUAUUUUAAUACCUUAAGGACUGGUAAAAGCGAAAGCAACCUUAUAUCUAUGUAUAAACUGACGUUGAAAGGGACGAAGG